UAGUCCACGCCGUAAACGAUGAUAACUAGCUGUCCGGACUCAUAGAGUUUGGGUGGCGCAGCUAACGCGAUAAGUAGACCGCCUGGGGAGUACGGCCGCAAGGUUAAAACUCAAAUGAAUUGACGGGGGCCCGCACAAGCGGUGGAGCAUGUGGUUUAAUUCGAUGCAACGCGAAGAACCUUACCAGGUCUUGACAUCCUGAAAACUUUCUAGAGAUAGAUUGGUGCCUUCGGGAAUUCAGUGACAGGUGCUGCAUGGCUGUCGUCAGCUCGUGUCGUGAGAUGUUGGGUUAAGUCCCGUAACGAGCGCAACCCUUGUCCUUAGUUGCUAGCAGGUAAUGCUGAGAACUCUAAGGAGACUGCCGGUGACAAACCGGAGGAAGGUGGGGACGACGGUCAAGUCAUCAUGGCCCUUACGACCUGGGCUACACACGUGCUACAAUGGGCAGUACAAAGGGCCGCUAAGCCGCGAGGUGGAGCAAAUCCUAUAAAACUGUUCGUAGUCCGGAUUGG
RNAcentral lists this ribosomal RNA (512 nucleotides) under uncultured bacterium. RNAcentral describes it as "bacterial SSU rRNA". It matches the Rfam family "Bacterial small subunit ribosomal RNA", at positions 791 to 1301 of the family's 1533-position model. The record is from RNAcentral.